This 513-nucleotide ribosomal RNA is filed under the name uncultured bacterium. RNAcentral describes it as "partial 16S ribosomal RNA". It matches the Rfam family "Bacterial small subunit ribosomal RNA", at positions 28 to 523 of the family's 1533-position model. The record is from RNAcentral.
GAUGAACGCUGGCGGCGUGCCUAAUACAUGCAAGUCGAGCGCGAGCGUAAGGAGCUUGCUCCUUACAAUCGAGCGGCGGACGGGUGAGUAACACGUGGGCAACCUACCCUUUAGACUGGGAUAACUACCGGAAACGGUAGCUAAUACCGGAUAAGUUGGAUUACAUAAGUAAUCUUAAUGAAAGGCGGAUUUAUCUGUCACUAAAGGAUGGGCCUGCGGUGCAUUAGCUAGUUGGUGAGGUAGUGGCUCACCAAGGCAACGAUGCAUAGCCGACCUGAGAGGGUGAUCGGCCACACUGGGACUGAGAAACGGCCCAGACUCCUACGGGAGGCAGCAGUAGGGAAUCUUCCGCAAUGGACGCAAGUCUGACGGAGCAACGCCGCGUGAGUGAAGAAGGGUUUCGGCUCGUAAAACUCUGUUGUUAAGGAAGAACACUUUAGGUAGUAACUGGCCUAGAGAUGACGGUACUUAACCAGAAAGCCACGGCUAACUACGUGCCAGCAGCCGCCGUAA